CUCCACAUGUGACUGUACACUCAAAGUAUCCCAGCAGAGGCACUCUCCCAGGUGCAACAAGAUGAAACAGUCAGUUUCGGGGUCUCUUAUCAUGUCCCUAUAUAAACACAGGUGUGGGAGGGAAAUAUUUUGAGAUGACUGCAUGGAACUCUGUAUUCCUUUUCCAUAUAAUGAGUAUAUUAUUCUCCAGCGUCUCUCCAUUGCUCAAAACCACGAAUAUCUCCUCUCUUGAAAAAGUGACAGUGUGAGGACUGGGAAGCUGAAAUUUUAGCUCAGAAGUCUACAACUAGAACCAAGUUUCUAAAAAUGUGCUGUGUUAUAUAAUCCAGGAGGAGGCAAUGGAAAAGUACCAGCUGGUGUGGGACUGGAGGCUUUCCUGCCUCUGACUCACUCAGGCAAAAGGUCUUGAAUUAAGAUGCUUCUCAGAAAAUCCAAACAAAACCCAUUCAUUCUCCAAGGCUUCGCAUUCGUUGUGGGAGUCAAAAUGUAACCAUGGGACUGAGAUUGCCUGGGCACAUUUGGGAAAGUUCACAAAGUUUGUUCUUGUGUCCCUCGAGGCCAGCUUCCAGGGCCUCCCCACUCCUUUCCAGAUGCCCGAUGCCAUCCUGCCGUAUCUAUGGCACCACAGACAGCCCUAUCGGGAAGAUGGCCCAAAUGGCUUUCCCCAUCAAAACUUGACUUCUCUGUCCUGUGGCCUCAGGCCCUGCUCUGGGUUGUCCUUAACUAAACAGUUAGAUGGAUCCUUGCUGUGGUGUUAGCUAACUGAAUAGAGCACCUUUGAAAAAAUAACAUAAUAGGCUGACCACGGUGGCUCAUGCCUGUAAUCCUGGCACCUUGG
Molecule: long non-coding RNA, 838 nt
Filed under: Homo sapiens (human)
Lineage: Eukaryota; Metazoa; Chordata; Mammalia; Primates; Hominidae
Description: LHRI_LNC1693.1
Source: RNAcentral